Molecule: ribosomal RNA, 945 nt
Filed under: uncultured methanogenic archaeon
Lineage: Archaea; Methanobacteriati; Methanobacteriota
Description: bacterial SSU rRNA
Rfam family: Archaeal small subunit ribosomal RNA
Source: RNAcentral
UUUCCGGUUGAUCCUGCCAGAGGUUACUGCUAUCGGUGUUCGGCUAAGCCAUGCGAGUCAUAUGUUCUUCGUGAACAUGGCGUACUGCUCAGUAACACGUGGAUAACCUGCCUUUGGGUCCGGCAUAACCCCGGGAAACUGGGGAUAAUUCCGGAUAACGCACAUAUGCUGGAAUGCUUUAUGCGUCAAAUGGAUUCGUCUGCCCAAGGAUGGGUCUGCGGCCUAUCAGGUAGUAGUGGGUGUAAUGUACCUACUAGCCGACGACGGGUACGGGUUGUGAGAGCAAGAGCCCGGAGAUGGAUUCUGAGAUAUGAAUCCAGGCCCUACGGGGCGCAGCAGGCGCGAAAACUUUACAAUGCGGGAAACCGUGAUAAGGGGACACCGAGUGCCAGCAUCAUAUGCUGGCUGUCCGGGUGUGUAAAAUACACCUGUUAGCAAGGGCCGGGCAAGACCGGUGCCAGCCGCCGCGGUAACACCGGCGGCCCGAGUGGUGAUCGUGAUUAUUGGGUCUAAAGGGUCCGUAGCCGGUUUGGUCAGUCCUCCGGGAAAUCUGACGGCUUAACCAUUAGGCUUUCGGAGGAUACUGCCAGGCUUGGAAUCGGGAGAGGUAAGAGGUACUACAGGGGUAGGAGUGAAAUCUUGUAAUCCCUGUGGGACCACCUGUGGCGAAGGCGUCUUACCAGAACGGGUUCGACGGUGAGGGACGAAAGCUGGGGGCACGAACCGGAUUAGAUACCCGGGUAGUCCCAGCCGUAAACGAUGCUCGCUAGGUGUCAGGCAUGGCGCGACCGUGUCUGGUGCCGUAAGGGAAGCCGUGAAGCGAGCCACCUGGGGAAUACGGCCGCAAGGCUGAAACUUAAAGGAAUUGGCGGGGGAGCACAACAACCGGGCGGAGCCUGCGGUUAAUUGGACUCAACGCCGGAACAACUCAACCGGGGCCGACAG